GAGAAGUCCCCGCGACAGAAACGCUGCGGAUGCCAGGUCUUGAAAAUGCUGACUUCUGAGGCUAAGAAUUAUUUCAAAGACAAAAAGAAAAGACUGGAGCAGCCGGCGGAGCUCGGGUGGAGGAAAGCGAGGAGGCGACCAGGAGGAUGCCGCCGCCGCCGCCGCCGCCGCAGGGCCCGGGGCUUCUGCAGGGCGCAAAGCCUCCCUCACCAGGGUAAGGGGCUGGCGAUCAACCUGGACGCCUGGGACCCUGGGAGCAAGCAUCCCGCAGCCGAGCAGGCGACGGCGCGGCCACCGCCUGGAGAGGAGCCGGGGCCCGGGGCGGCGUGCGGGUCGGCGGCAGCUGGCUUGGCCUAUCCGAAACCCCAGGCCUGGAAGCCGCUGCUUUAGGCGUCAAGUUGAGCGGGGCAGGAGAAAGAAGCGGAGCCGAGCCGAGCCGCCGAGUCCCUCCCCCCGGAGCCCCGGCGCCUGCCUGGGCGGUCCCGGCCGCGCAGUUAAAGACAGAAAAGAAGCCGGGAAUCUGCGGGGCUGGGGGGCGGGGAGCGACACCAAAGGCCAGAAACUGCAGCACGGCCCGAGGCCCUGGCGAGCUGGGCCUGGGGGAGGAGAAGUCCCUUCCCAUUCCAGCUCGAUCAAUCUUGCUGGACUGCGAUC
Molecule: long non-coding RNA, 654 nt
Filed under: Pan troglodytes (chimpanzee)
Lineage: Eukaryota; Metazoa; Chordata; Mammalia; Primates; Hominidae
Description: lincRNA
Source: RNAcentral